This 2135-nucleotide ribosomal RNA is filed under the name Haploniscus sp. 6 MJR-2004. Its description in RNAcentral is "SSU rRNA". It matches the Rfam family "Eukaryotic small subunit ribosomal RNA". Lineage: Eukaryota; Metazoa; Arthropoda; Malacostraca; Isopoda; Haploniscidae. The record is from RNAcentral.
CAUAUGCUUGUCUCAAAGAUUAAGCCAUGCAUGUCUGAGUACAGACCGAUCUAAGGUGAAACCGCGAAUGGCUCAUUAAAUCAGUCAUAAUUUCUUGGAUAGUGAAAAACUUUCCUCGGAUAACUGUGGAAAAUCCAGAGCUAAUACGUGCAACUGAGCUCCGACCUAGGCUGUCGCCUUGGGAAGAGCGCAUUUAUUAGAUUCAAAACUGACCGUCGUACUCCUCCGGGAUGCGUCGUCUGUCAUAUUGAUGACUCCGGAUAACUAAGCCGAGCGCUACGGUCUUUGUACCGGCGCCGUAUCUUUCAAGUGUCUGCCUUAUCAGCUUUCGAUUGUAGGUUAAACGCCUACAAUGGCUGUAACGGGUAACGGGGAAUCAGGGUUCGAUUCCGGAGAGGGAGCCUGAGAAACGGCUACCACAUCUAAGGAAGGCAGCAGGCACGCAAAUUACCCACUCCCAGCCCGGGGAGGUAGUGACGAAAAAUAACGAUGCGAGACUCUUCCGAGGCCUCGCAAUCGGAAUGAGUCCAUUCUAAAUCCUUGGACGAGGAUCCAUUGGAGGGCAAGUCUGGUGCCAGCAGCCGCGGUAAUUCCAGCUCCAAUAGCGUAUAUUAAAGUUGCUGCGGUUAAAAAGCUCGUAGUUGGAUCUCCUAGAUCCAAUUCGUGGGCGGGUCGCCGUUGUUCACGCGUCUUCGCGGUCCCUGGUGAGGAGCUUUCCUUGGUACGGCAUGUGUCGUUACGUUAUUCGUUACGCCUUCCGCGAGGAUGGUAUUCGGUUUCGUAUUCGCGCGUGCGCAGUGUCGGGUUUGCGCUUAGCCUGUGGACGGUUGACGUAGGCUUCGGGAACUGCCCGUCCGCGCUUGGUACAAUUAAAAUUUUGUCGGCUCGCUCGGAGUGCUCUUCACCGAGUGUUCCAGGGUGGCCGACACGUUCACUUUGAAAAAAUUAGAGUGCUUAAAGCGGGCUAUAGAGUUGCCUGAAUGUUGAUGCAUGGAAUGAAGGAACAGGACCUCGGUUCUGUUCUUUUUGUCGGUUUUAUUGAACCGAGGUAAUGAUUAAAAGGAACGGACGGUGGCAUUAGUAUUGUGACGCUAGAGGUGAGAUUCUUGGAACGUCGCACGACUAACUACUGCGAAAGCAUUUGCCGAGCACGUUUCAUUAAUCAAGAACGAAAGUUAGAGGAUCGAAGGCGAUCAGAUACCGCCUAGUUCUAACCCUAAACUAUGCUAACUAGCGAUCCGCCGGAGUCAUUCCCACGACCCGGCGGAAGCCCAGGGAAACCAAAGUCUUUGAGUUCCGGGGGAAGUAUGGUUGCAAAUCUGAAACUUAAAGGAAUUGACGGAAGGGCACCACCAGGAGUGGAGCCUGCGGCUUAAUUUGACUCAACACGGGAAACCUCACCAGGCCCGGACAUCAAAAGGAUUGACAGAUUGAGAGCUCUUUCUCGAUUGGAUGGGUGGUGGUGCAUGGCCGUUCUUAGUUGGUGGAGUGAUCUGUCUGGUUGAUUCCGAUAACGAACGAGACUCUACCCUACUAACUAGUCGGCGGAUCGUAACCCUGUGCUGGGGGGAUCCGAAGUUCAUUUUGCGGCCGUUCGUGCCUAGCGCUGACGCGUAGUGUUCCAACUCAAGUCCUUAUACGGGCGAUGGAAGGGCAUUGCGUCGAGGUUGCGGGUGUGUGGCGGUUUAGCUGGUGUGACUGAGGUGACUCUUACUGGGGGCGUCCGUCGCAAUGUAUCUUCUUAGAGGGAUCAGCGGCGUCUAGCCGCACGAGAAAGAGCAAUAACAGGUCUGUGAUGCCCUUAGAUGUUCUGGGCCGCACGCGCGCUACAAUGUUCGGUUCAGCGUGCCACCCCGCUCCGAAAGGAGUGGGUAACCCGUUGAAACCCGUACUCAAUUGGGAUUGGGGAUUGCAAAUUUUUCCCAUAAACGAGGAAUUCCCAGUAAUCGUGAAUCAUUAAUUCGCGCUGAUUACGUCCCUGCCCUUUGUACACACCGCCCGUCGCUACUACCGAUUGAAUGAUUCAGUGAGGUCAUCGGAUUGGCUCCUGCGGUUGCAAUAUACCCUAGGUUGACGAAAAGACGUCCGAACUCGAUCAUUUAGAGGAAGUAAAAGUCGUAACAAGGUUUCCGUAG